AAAGAAAUUUUAAUAUCUCAGUUUCGACCCCCUUUGGUCACCGAAAACUGUACCGAACUGUAAUCUUUAUCAGAUAGCUGUCGGAUUUUAUUUUCCACCUUUCGGGUGUCAGAAUGAUAUGAAACCUUAAAUCAAGUCUCAUAAAAAUAAUUCUGACUUAUCCUCCAGUUUUCAUAAUUUUCUGACACUGUGCAUUUUUUGCUAAUUUAUCUAUCCCGUUUUCAAAAGAAAAUUCUAAGUAUUCUGUUUUCAUUCUGAUUUCAGCACAAGUCAUUUUUGACUUAUGUUUUACUUCUCUAAAUUCAAUAAAAAUAGUUUCUCACACUAUUUUUAUUUAUUUUUAUUUUUAUACCAAAAUCUGGUAUGUUACAUUCUCCACUCCUUAAAAAAAAUUCCGUCCGCGAAAUUCAAACCACGCCUCAAUUCAGCUCCGCGAACAAUUAAGGGUACCAACUAAUUCUCCCACUCCAGA
Molecule: long non-coding RNA, 472 nt
Filed under: Ananas comosus (pineapple)
Lineage: Eukaryota; Viridiplantae; Streptophyta; Magnoliopsida; Poales; Bromeliaceae
Description: long non-coding RNA (ACOM_LNC007141)
Source: RNAcentral